This is a long non-coding RNA of Capra hircus (goat), 3515 nucleotides long. RefSeq lists it as uncharacterized. Lineage: Eukaryota; Metazoa; Chordata; Mammalia; Artiodactyla; Bovidae. The transcript is spliced from 3 exons. The record is from RefSeq and is a predicted model, not a curated record.
CGGACUGCUGCCAAAGUAAGAUGACCACAAAGCAAAGUGAAAUAAGAGUUCUUUAAAGGGAAAGCUAAAACAUUUUGACAUGAACUAUGUUGCCUUCUACUUUAAGGUUUCAGGUGGUGGCUUUAAAGUUUAAGGGGACCAGCAUCGCUGCAAGAGUCUGUGCUAGGAAGCAGAGCUCCGCAUGCCUGUCUCCUGUCUCGCGGGGUACACUCACAGCUGUACACUGAGCCCCUGGGAGCCUGCACAGUCAGUCGCUGCUGAAAUAGGAGGUGGUGUUAAUUUUGAAAAUGAUCCAUGCUGUAAUGUCAUGAACCAGGAAGCUGGAAUCCUUCACCAGCUCUUUAUGCAAAUAUUUGGCUGCAGCUUGAGCUCAAGCACUUGGAAGGAGUGGGUUUUAAAAACUCGGCUUCAUUGUAGAGCUCUCGUUAACCCCAUUCCUCCCCCGGAAUGGUCCUUUUGUAGACCUCCCCAGGUUAUCUCCCUCAGGAAAAGUCGUGGAAAUACACCCGGAUCAAAACGCCCCUCGCCCUCGUGACCCUAUCCCAGAAGAAGCAGCCGAGUUACCCGACAUCGUGGUCAGCAGAAGCUGAGGUGGUGGCUGGAUGCUGCAGCUGCAGGGACUCAGCGUGGAGGAGGGCUCCUGUGCAGGGGGAGAAGCAGAGAUGCAACAUUUUUAAAGUUUCACAAAGCAUCCAGCUGCACCCAGGUUCCUGGAGCAGGAGACAAACAGAAUUAAUGUUUUAUACCUUCGGGUAUAGGUUUGAGUUUUUUCCCCCUCAUGCCAAGUAUUUAAAACCUCUAGAAACCCAUGAUUUGACAAUCAAUGAUUGCGCGAUACUUUCAAUUUGAAUAUUCAAAGGCUUAACAAAAUGGACUAUCUUCUGCAGAAAUCCUGCACACAGGCACCCCAGGGAGAGUCCACAGAAACAGGGAGUGAGACCCCUUUAGGUCCUGACCCUUGCUUUUACUGUAUUUUGAGCAUUUUGCCCACCUUCCCACAGAGAGAGCAGAAAUCCUCAAAGAUGCUCUGUGUUUCUGCCUCAAAGGGAGCUCUGGGAUCCAUGAGUGACCUAGGCUGCCCUUCAUGUCCACCUGAGCCAGACUGACUGGGCUGACUGGUUUCCAUCUCCUCAGUCUCUGUUUUAAGGGAAAAUCUCAGGUUUUGGGGAGUGAACAUGGCAGCCAGUAGGUAUGGCCUGGCAAGAAGUCACUCUGGGCCCAGGUUGCAGGCUGGAGGCCUGCAGAGGGCUUCGCUCUGCUCCUCAUCUCCGUCUGGCCCCGCCUGGCCACGUGCCGGCUUCCCUCCCCUUUUCCCCCCUGCUCUGUGUCUGUGCCCGAGACACUGGGAUUUCAGUACAGAAUGCCUGCACAUUAAGACCCUUUGCUCCUCCCCACAGAGCUGGGGAUGCCUGUGGGGCCUCACCCUCUGGAGAGUUUCUGAUUCCGGUGGUUUUUCACUAUGAAGUUCCCUUUUUGGUUUUUUUUUCCUCUCCUCUUUUUCCCUCUAGAGCCACCCCUGCCUUUUGGCCACAGGAGCGUGUGUUGAGAAAGGAUGAUAAGCUUGGCUUUUGCUUAUUUUACCUGAAAGAAUAUGGAUUUGGGUUCAGGCCUUCACACUUUGAGUGAGAGGUGGGAGGGCUUUGAGGUCAGCUGCCCCCUCGGUCCCGGCCUAAUCCCCUCACAGAUAACCUGACGUUGCGCUGGGUUAUGUUCUCCAACCACCUGCUGUACCUCCCCUGUGUGAUCUGGAAGCUUGAGAAGAUAUGAGAGGCCCAGAGAGUGAAUGGGUGCCAGGCCAGAUCCUCUCCUAGCCCCCAAGGGAAGGCAGAGUGGGGUUCCCUUUCCAGGUAAGCCAAGACAUUUCCAUGUUGCCGGGACAGGCAACGCUUAUAGGCCCCUGUUCUUUGUUCUCUGAAAUGCGUACAGUGGAUUUGAGUGUGAAAAAUACCCAGAUGCUCUGGGAUGUGUUGGUUGCAGGGUGGAGAAAGGAGUUCUCUAAGAGUGACAAGACACCAAGAAUGUGGUGGGUAAGUUGCCUGACAAGUGGAGCCAUGUCUCUGGGGGAGGAGAUCAGGGCUGGGGACCCCUGAGGUGGGCCUGGCAGUAGAUUUGUCAGCAGUCCACCCAGAAUCUGUCAGCUCUGGAGCCUCUUUCUCUAAAGGCACUGAGCCUAUGUUUUCCUGAUGGACCUCAGAACCAGCCUGGUGAGGAGGGGAAGGCCACCGGGAGUUUAGAGAGGAGAGCCCCUGUUUCCUUUCUCCAUGCCCUCUUGUGCAUGGGCACAGCCCUUCUCAGGAAACAGUGAGUCAAGCAGCGUAGAAUUAGGGACAGUCUCUUGUCCUUCUAUCUUCUGUCCUCUUUUGCCCUCCUUUUUGUUUUAUACUUAUUUUCUUUUGAUUUGCUUAAAAAAAUCUUCUCUUGCACCUUUGUGUUAUUAUUAUUAUUUUUUUUUUCCUGGGUUUCUUUAUUUUUUUUUUGGUUUCUCUUUUUGUCAUCACUUUCCUCCAUUCGUUAUCUGCAUUGCUGUUUUUCUCCUGGGCUUUGUGUGUGUGUGUGUGUGUCUGUUUUCCCGUGUUCUGGGGCGCUGUCUCAGUUUUUCAGGCUUAGUCACCUUCCUAAUUUCUCCUUUCAUGUAGAGAUGGGCGGGGAUGGCAGGAGCCAUAGAGUGCCCUUAGCGACAUCAUGGAAACUGACGGUGGUGACUGGUUGCCCUUUGGAGAAGGCAGGCAGGGCUGCGUGAGAGGUGAGCAGUGUGGAGGCCACAGGCUCUAUAGGGACAACAGAGACCUCUCUGUCCCUUCCUCCAGAAGCCUCUGCCCAAACCAGAGCAGCAAUUCUGGGGGCUUCUGCAUUGGCCCCUAGCUGAAGUGAUGGAUGUUCCAGUGCUGUGGCUAGCUAGCAACUUUGGAAAACGGGAGUUCCUCAGGCUGGAGGCCUGAUUUGAGAAACAAGGCCCCCGCACCCCUCCUGCCCCAGUUUGUAGCCUAACAUUAAGGAGUUUGGUUUCCACUGUUUCUAUAAUUGCAAAACCCUAGCACAGAUACUUAGGAGCCAGAUGCCACACCUGUAGGGUGAGGGAGCGUUCUUUCUAACUUGCACCUGUAAAUUGUCCUUGUGGGGCCACGUGAGUCUUGUGGCCUGGAGCAGUGAGCUCGGCUCUGAGACCUCAUAGCUUUGGAUGUUCCUCGUGGACGUUUUAGAGUUUGUCCUUCACUGAGUGUUUGUUGCAAGUCAUGCACUGAAUGGUAGAACCUCCCCUGUUUCCCCAGAUGAGGAAACAGGGUCAGAGGGAUGAGCAACAUGAUCAAGAUUACUGAGCAGGUACAUGCAGGAUUAGGAAUCAAAGUUUCAUAAAUCCCUUACUCUUAACUAUUAUAGUUAUCUCCCUGAUCUUUUAUAGCAGACACUUUCAAACUUUUUAGACUUCAACCCACAACUAAGAAAUUCAUCUUACACGUUCACAUAUUGUAACAGUAUUUAUAUGCUUAUAGAAUAAAUUUUCGUGGAACAAUGUA